RNAcentral lists this ribosomal RNA (457 nucleotides) under uncultured bacterium. RNAcentral describes it as "bacterial SSU rRNA". It matches the Rfam family "Bacterial small subunit ribosomal RNA", at positions 30 to 468 of the family's 1533-position model. The record is from RNAcentral.
AUUGAACGCUGGCGGCAGGCCUAACACAUGCAAGUCGAGCGGAAACGGCAACAUUGACUCUUCGGAUGAUUUGUUGGACGUCGAGCGGCGGACGGGUGAGUAAUGCUUAGGAAUUUGCCCAGUCGAGGGGGAUAACUAUUGGAAACGAUAGCUAAUACCGCAUACGCCCUACGGGGGAAAAGAGGGGACCUUCGGGCCUUCUGCGAUUGGAUAAGCCUAAGUGAGAUUAGCUAGUUGGUGAGGUAAUGGCUCACCAAGGCGACGAUCUCUAGCUGGUCUGAGAGGAUGAUCAGCCACACUGGAACUGAGACACGGUCCAGACUCCUACGGGAGGCAGCAGUGGGGAAUAUUGCACAAUGGGCGCAAGCCUGAUGCAGCCAUGCCGCGUGUGUGAAGAAGGCCUUCGGGUUGUAAAGCACUUUCAGCAGUGAGGAAGGUGGUAGCGUUAAUAGCGCCA